UGAACGCUGGCGGCGUGCCUAAUACAUGCAAGUCGAGCGAACAGACGAGGAGCUUGCUCCUCUGACGUUAGCGGCGGACGGGUGAGUAACACGUGGAUAACCUACCUAUAAGACUGGGAUAACUUCGGGAAACCGGAGCUAAUACCGGAUAAUAUAUUGAACCGCAUGGUUCAAUAGUGAAAGACGGUUUUGCUGUCAUUUAUAGAUGGAUCCGCGCCGCAUUAGCUAGUUGGUAAGGUAACGGCUUACCAAGGCAACGAUGCGUAGCCGACCUGAGAGGGUGAUCGGCCACACUGGAACUGAGACACGGUCCAGACUCCUACGGGAGGCAGCAGUAGGGAAUCUUCCGCAAUGGGCGAAAGCCUGACGGAGCAACGCCGCGUGAGUGAUGAAGGUCUUCGGAUCGUAAAACUCUGUUAUUAGGGAAGAACAAAUGUGUAAGUAACUAUGCACGUCUUGACGGUACCUAAUCAGAAAGCCACGGCUAACUACGUG
Molecule: ribosomal RNA, 495 nt
Filed under: uncultured bacterium
Lineage: Bacteria
Description: partial 16S ribosomal RNA
Rfam family: Bacterial small subunit ribosomal RNA
Source: RNAcentral